Long non-coding RNA from Lagenorhynchus albirostris (white-beaked dolphin), 715 nucleotides. RefSeq lists it as uncharacterized. The record is from RefSeq and is a predicted model, not a curated record. The transcript is spliced from 3 exons. NCBI's taxonomy places the organism in Eukaryota, Metazoa, Chordata, Mammalia, Artiodactyla, Delphinidae.
CUCGCGCCUGCGAGCGGGCCCGUGAGGGUUGCUCGGAGCUGCUGACGGAUCUCGGGGACCGCAGCGCCCGGACGCCGGACACACUCUCCGGCCCGAGGACAAGGUUUGGGGGACAAGCAUGCAUUUUCGCACACUGGACUUUUUCUUACCGUUUUCCAAGUAUUAGUGGUUUCCUGCAAGACGCACUUUCCCGAAAUAGUGCGGUGCUUUAGCGUGACGUUCCUCCCGUGCCAAGCGAUGUAUUAAACUUGGACCUUCUAAGCUACCCCGUUCAUGAUCGCGCCAAGCUCUUCAUAGGCUCGUUAUACCGUGGCUCGUUAGCAGACAAACAAACAGCUAUCCUAAUUCCUUUGAGGAAAACUGGCCCGCGCAGACUCCCCAGAUGUCAAUUCGAAAAAUGUCGACCACCUUUUAUCUCCUCUCUUUGGAAAACCUUGCAACAGAAGGAGGACGGACCCCACCCAGAAACUGGUUCUGAUGUUGAGACGGAUGACGCCACCAUCACACCAGGUGGAGCACAGGCUCCGGACGCGCAGACUCAGUGGCCAUGGUUCACGGGCCCAGCCGCUCCGCGGCAUGUGGGAUCUUCCCGGACCGGGGCACGAACCCGUGUCCCCUGCAUCGGCAGGCGGACUCUCAACCACUGCGCCAUCAGGGAAGCCCAGGAUUUCUUAUAUAUUAAUCACUUGUUUGCAAAUAAAGACACUUUAACGUC